CACGUAGGGGACGAGCGUUGUCCGGAUUUAUUGGGCCUAAAGCAUCCGUAGCCGGUUCUACAAGUCUUCCGUUAAAUCCAACUGCUUAACAGGUGGGCUGCGGAAGAUACUAUAGAGCUAGGAGGCGGGAGAGGCAAGCGGUACUCGAUGGGUAGGGGUAAAAUCCGUUGAUCCAUUGAAGACCACCAGUGGCGAAGGCGGCUUGCCAGAACGCGCUCGACGGUGAGGGAUGAAAGCUGGGGGAGCAAACCGG
This 253-nucleotide ribosomal RNA is filed under the name uncultured bacterium. RNAcentral describes it as "partial 16S ribosomal RNA". It matches the Rfam family "Bacterial small subunit ribosomal RNA", at positions 524 to 776 of the family's 1533-position model. The record is from RNAcentral.